RNAcentral lists this ribosomal RNA (476 nucleotides) under uncultured actinomycete. RNAcentral's name for it is "bacterial SSU rRNA". It matches the Rfam family "Bacterial small subunit ribosomal RNA", at positions 514 to 987 of the family's 1533-position model. The record is from RNAcentral. Lineage: Bacteria; Bacillati; Actinomycetota; Actinomycetes; Actinomycetales.
GCCGCGGUAAGACGUAGGGCGCGAGCGUUGUCCGGAUUUAUUGGGCGUAAAGAGCUCGUAGGCGGCUUGUCGCGUCGUCCGUGAAAACCUGGGGCUCAACUCCAGGCUUGCGGUCGAUACGGGCAGGCUAGAGUUCGGUAGGGGAGACUGGAAUUCCUGGUGUAGCGGUGAAAUGCGCAGAUAUCAGGAGGAACACCGGUGGCGAAGGCGGGUCUCUGGGCCGAUACUGACGCUGAGGAGCGAAAGCGUGGGGAGCGAACAGGAUUAGAUACCCUGGUAGUCCACGCUGUAAACGUUGGGCGCUAGGUGUGGGGGGCCUCUCCGGUUCUCUGUGCCGCAGCUAACGCAUUAAGCGCCCCGCCUGGGGAGUACGGCCGCAAGGCUAAAACUCAAAGGAAUUGACGGGGGCCCGCACAAGCGGCGGAGCAUGCGGAUUAAUUCGAUGCAACGCGAAGAACCUUACCUGGGUUUGACAU